This 468-nucleotide ribosomal RNA is filed under the name uncultured bacterium. RNAcentral's name for it is "partial 16S ribosomal RNA". It matches the Rfam family "Bacterial small subunit ribosomal RNA", at positions 28 to 507 of the family's 1533-position model. The record is from RNAcentral.
GACGAACGCUGGCGGCGUGCUUAACACAUGCAAGUCGAACGGAAAGGCCCUGCUUUUGUGGGGUGCUCGAGUGGCGAACGGGUGAGUAACACGUGAGUAACCUGCCCUUGACUUUGGGAUAACUUCAGGAAACUGGGGCUAAUACCGGAUAGGAGCUCCUGCUGCAUGGUGGGGGUUGGAAAGUUUCGGCGGUUGGGGAUGGACUCGCGGCUUAUCAGCUUGUUGGUGGGGUAGUGGCUUACCAAGGCUUUGACGGGUAGCCGGCCUGAGAGGGUGACCGGCCACAUUGGGACUGAGAUACGGCCCAGACUCCUACGGGAGGCAGCAGUAGGGAAUAUUGCACAAUGGGCGGAAGCCUGAUGCAGCAACGCCGCGUGCGGGAUGACGGCCUUCGGGUUGUAAACCGCUUUCGCCUGUGACGAAGCGUGAGUGGCGGUAAUGGGUAAAGAAGCACCGGCUAACUACGUG